Molecule: transfer RNA, 63 nt
Filed under: Fukomys damarensis (Damara mole-rat)
Lineage: Eukaryota; Metazoa; Chordata; Mammalia; Rodentia; Bathyergidae
Rfam family: tRNA
About the family: Transfer RNA (tRNA) molecules are approximately 80 nucleotides in length. Their secondary structure includes four short double-helical elements and three loops (D, anti-codon, and T loops).
Source: Rfam by way of RNAcentral
CUGUAGCUCAGCAGUAAAGCACUUGCCUGACAUGCAUGAGGCCCUGGGUUCAGUGCCCAGCAG